Daphnia pulicaria is the source of this 399-nucleotide long non-coding RNA. RefSeq lists it as uncharacterized. The record is from RefSeq and is a predicted model, not a curated record. NCBI's taxonomy places the organism in Eukaryota, Metazoa, Arthropoda, Branchiopoda, Diplostraca, Daphniidae. The transcript has 4 exons.
GUGAAACGAGGUGAAAGGAGCGAAACAAAUUGUUGCUAAUUUAUUCCUGUGAUUCCUGUGAUUUCAAAUACCAAAUUGAACUUCGUAUCUUAUAUGCAUACUGUCAGUCAGUCAUUCCAACAAGUUGACUUAGUGCUCAGUCAAUUUCCAUCCAUUAGAUCCUCAUGCUGUCAAAAGCCUAAAACUCAUGUUUUAAGCACACAUAUAGCGGAAUAUAAAUGUGCCAAGAUAAGGUCUUCUUGCUUAUGAACCAUAGGAUCUUUUCUGAAUCUCUCAAUUUUGGUGGUGUACCCUGCAACAGCAUGUUUGUUGUUCUGGCUGUUUUCACUUCGGUUUAGAAGGCAACCCAGCUAAGAGAUAGAGUUUCAGUGACAUGAAGAGUGUGAAGUGAACCACCUA